AAAUACAACUUUCAGCAACGGAUCUCUUGGCUCUCGCAUCGAUGAAGAACGCAGCGAAAUGCGAUAAGUAAUGUGAAUUGCAGAAUUCAGUGAAUCAUCGAAUCUUUGAACGCACCUUGCGCUCCUUGGUAUUCCGAGGAGCAUGCCUGUUUGAGUGUCA
This 160-nucleotide ribosomal RNA is filed under the name Phlebia acerina. Its description in RNAcentral is "5.8S ribosomal RNA". It matches the Rfam family "5.8S ribosomal RNA". Rfam says of the family: 5.8S ribosomal RNA (5.8S rRNA) is a component of the large subunit of the eukaryotic ribosome. It is transcribed by RNA polymerase I as part of the 45S precursor that also contains 18S and 28S rRNA. Functionally, it is thought that 5.8S rRNA may be involved in ribosome translocation. The record is from RNAcentral. Lineage: Eukaryota; Fungi; Basidiomycota; Agaricomycetes; Polyporales; Meruliaceae.